UCAUUACUCCUUUCAUGUCAAAAUUCUUGUCUUAGAUUUGUCUAGAAAUUGAUGUAUCUAAAUACUAAAAUGUGACUGGAUACAUUUAUAUCUAAACAAAUCUAAGACAAGAAUUAUGGGAUAGAGGAAGUAUUUU
RNAcentral lists this microRNA precursor (136 nucleotides) under Hordeum vulgare. RNAcentral describes it as "microRNA MIR1122". It matches the Rfam family "MIR1120/MIR1122 microRNA precursor family". Lineage: Eukaryota; Viridiplantae; Streptophyta; Magnoliopsida; Poales; Poaceae. The record is from RNAcentral.